CAGUCGCCACGGUAAUACGUAGGGUGCGAGCGUUAAUCGGAAUUACUGGGCGUAAAGCGUGCGCAGGCGGUUGUGUAAGACAGGUGUGAAAUCCCCGGGCUUAACCUGGGAACUGCGCUUGUGACUGCACAGCUAGAGUAUGGCAGAGGGGGGUGGAAUUCCACGUGUAGCAGUGAAAUGCGUAGAGAUGUGGAGGAACACCGAUGGCGAAGGCAGCCCCCUGGGCCAAUACUGACGCUCAUGCACGAAAGCGUGGGGAACAAACAGGAUUAGAUACCCCGGUAGUCCCUGUCUCUUAUAC
This 301-nucleotide ribosomal RNA is filed under the name uncultured bacterium. Its description in RNAcentral is "partial 16S ribosomal RNA". It matches the Rfam family "Bacterial small subunit ribosomal RNA", at positions 509 to 807 of the family's 1533-position model. The record is from RNAcentral.